RNAcentral lists this ribosomal RNA (467 nucleotides) under uncultured bacterium. RNAcentral describes it as "bacterial SSU rRNA". It matches the Rfam family "Bacterial small subunit ribosomal RNA", at positions 329 to 792 of the family's 1533-position model. The record is from RNAcentral.
CUCCAGACUCCUACGGGAGGCAGCAGUGAGGAAUAUUGGUCAAUGGGCGCGAGCCUGAACCAGCCAAGUCGCGUGAGGGAUGACGGCCCUACGGGUUGUAAACCUCUUUUGCCGGGGAGCAACGGGCGCCACGUGUGGCGCCACUGAGAGUACCCGGAGAAAAAGCAUCGGCUAACUCCGUGCCAGCAGCCGCGGUAAUACGUAGGUGGCAAGCGUUAUCCGGAUUUACUGGGUGUAAAGGGCGUGUAGGCGGGAAAGCAAGUCAGAUGUGAAAACCAUGGGCUCAACCUGUGGCCUGCAUUUGAAACUGUUUUUCUUGAGUACUGGAGAGGCAGACGGAAUUCCUAGUGUAGCGGUGAAAUGCGUAGAUAUUAGGAGGAACACCAGUGGCGAAGGCGGUCUGCUGGACAGCAACUGACGCUGAGGCGCGAAAGCGUGGGGAGCAAACAGGAUUAGAUACCCGUGUA